CCAGCAUGCUACAAAAGAGCUUGAUAACUCAGAUGGCAAGCUUUUUAAAAUGCAAGUACAACAUGUAACACCUGGAACAAUCCCCGGCUCCCUGGAACAUCUUCAGAGGACUGGCAAGGCUGUUCAACUUCAAGAAAGAAAGACUGUUCAUAUUUGGAAUAGUGUGUCCUGGCUGUCAUUCAUGUGCUAGGAGGCAGAAGACUGAGUACCAGAAAAAGAUGUGGUCAACCUCGGAGUACAGGAAACCACGGAGGGAACUGUUUCUUUAUCUUGUUUGCUGGACUACAGCAAUGCAACCAGGAGAGCAGGACUUGGAACCUGUAAGAUUCUGGGCCAAAACACAUAUUUCUUCUUUGAACUUGCUCAUUUUAGGCUUUUUAUAACAGAGGGAAAGCUAGCACAUCCCUCUAUACACACACACACACACACACACACACA
Mesocricetus auratus (golden hamster) is the source of this 438-nucleotide long non-coding RNA. RefSeq lists it as uncharacterized. The transcript is spliced from 3 exons. Lineage: Eukaryota; Metazoa; Chordata; Mammalia; Rodentia; Cricetidae. The record is from RefSeq and is a predicted model, not a curated record.